RNAcentral lists this long non-coding RNA (4242 nucleotides) under Salmo salar (Atlantic salmon). RNAcentral's name for it is "lncRNA (ENSSSAG00000084591.1)". Lineage: Eukaryota; Metazoa; Chordata; Actinopteri; Salmoniformes; Salmonidae. The record is from RNAcentral.
AACAGAUCAGGGCGUGACAAGGUGUGUCAAACCUUUUGACUGUACAUAUUCAAACAUGUAUUACAAGGUUGACCAGAGGACAAUAUUGGAUUGGCAAAGAUUCUUACUUCUUUUACAAUGUAGAAAUGAAAAGAACAAUUUCAAAAUGUAGAUAACCUCUCCCAAUGCAAUUUAGUAGAGACCACAGGCCUGACACAAAAUGUAGAAAUACGUUUUACAACAAUUUUGUGAACGCAAAAAGUAUCAGAUAGAGAAAUAUUAAGAUAAACACAACAACUGUUCAGAGACUAUUUUAUUUUAAAACAUACCCAAUUUGUCUAUUUGUAGAUUUGUAGUAAAAAUAUGUCACCCGGGUGUUGCGUUUAGCCUACAACAUGUCAUGGAAAGCAUGGCCCCAUUCUACAGUGGCGCAAAAUAUAAAAAAAUAAUACUGACAACAAUUCAGUAAACGCAAUAAGUAUUAGAUAGAGACAGAUAAAGAGAGAAAGUAAAAAACACAGUAAGUGUUAGGCUAGCUUCAGACUUUUUUUGCCUAUGAAAUUUGUAGGACAAAUUCAUAUUUCAAACUAUCACAUUAGUGUUUGCAUUUAGCCUACAACAUGUCAUGGAACUUCUGGAAGCACAGCCCCAUCCUGCAAAGUGGCACAGAACACCUAGAGCACCCAAAGGAGGUUUCUACACAUCGUCCAUUCUUUGCCCUGCGUCCACUCAAGAUGCACACCACACACCCUCCAACAUUAUGGUAGCCCCUGAGCUGGUCGAGAUGGUCAACCUCGCCCAUUUUCUUGUUGCAAUCCAGGACCAGCUCUGAAAUAAACAGUAUGAUUUUGUUCUGCCUGUAUUUUGAUACUGGUUUUAGGGUAUUUUCCUGAGCUGUUAGAACAUAGACUGUACACAUCUGUGUACACACUGAAAGCAAGGAGUCACAGAGACACCAUAUUUUUAUCCCCCACUUUACUGUUUUUUGGGGCAUAUACUGCUUCCACAGUAGUCUACAGUCAAAUUAUAUCAUAGCCUCAUCCACUGAGAGGGCUUGCCAUGGGUGAAGUAGUUUAGGGAAUUCUCUUGCAGUAUUUUGAUAAAAGGCCUGACUUUGUGUAAUUUGUCUGUCACAUUAGCUGAAUUUGGAUCGGAGAAGUGCAUGUAUUUACAUAGCUGCUCAAAGCGGUUGUGUGGCAUUUUACUUGUGAUGUAUGGAACCCUGAGGGCGGCGUCAGAGGACCAGUAGUCAAUGAGAGAGGGUAAGCGGUGGAUGCCCAUGAGAAUAUUGAUUCCAAUAACGCAUUUAAUCUCAUCUUUAAAUGUGACAAAUGGGGAGACAUUGGAUGUAGUGGCAUACCGGUUGGUGUUAAACACCAGAUCAGAAAAGAACAGACAACUACCAUUUUCCCCCCAAAAAAAUGUAAACUGCCAAUGUCACUUUAGGCCCAGGCUGUGUGGUUCAAGGGUGAAUGGUGGGACUUGGGGCAGAUGCACUCCACAGAAAGGUAGGCUGGGCUAUUGCCCCUAUAGAUUCCCUUGGCUGGUGGGCUCUCCCUCUUCCUCCUCCUCUAAUUCCUCUUCCUCUCUUCUUCUUCCUCCACUCCCCUCUCCUUCCACUCCUCCCUCCUCUUCCCUCUCCUCUUCCUCUCUUUCUCCCUCCUCUUCACUCUCCUCUUCCUCUCCCCUUUCACUCCCCUCUCCCUCCUCUUCCUCCUCGCUCCAAAUCUCUAUCCCUUCAAUCAUCUCCAACUUUUCCUCCUCCCUGCCUUCUGGUACUGAGCCCUUAUUCUCCCAAUAACUUCUCUCACUGCUGUCACGGACCUAGAGGAACAGAGGAACAGACUGAGAGAGAUCGCGAGAGUUUGAGAGGAAUGGAGAAACAAAUAGGAUACAAUUGUGGUCAGGAACAGCAUCUCUCUCUCUCCCUCUCCCACUGUCUCUCUCUUCCUUCUGCUCUCUUUUUUUUCUCAAUCAUACACAUACUUGCUUCCUAAUAAUCACCUCUUUGGGGUUUCCAAUGUGUGGUACAGUUAGAUGCCUCCCUUUCCACUCACUCACUCACUCACUCACUCACUCACUCACUCACUCACUCACUCACUCACUCACUCACUCACUCACUCACUCACUCACUCACUCACUCACUCACUCACUCACUCACUCACUCACUCACUCACUCACUCACUCACUCACUCACACACAGAGUAAACAGUAUAAUCAGAAUGCUAUACAACACUUUCAAUCAAUCAAUCACAUUUAUUUAAUGAAGCGCUUAGUGGCCAGGAUAGAGCAAACAAAAUGUAAUUCAUGAAUAUGUUCAUGGAUGACCAGCAGUGUUAGAUUAUAACCGUAAAGACUAUAUAGGAUAAACACACUUCAAGACCCAUGGCCAGAUGAUUAAUUGGGCAUCGUUAGCUAGUUAUCUUUGUAGAAAAUAAGAAUUUGUUCUUAACUGACUUGCCUAGUUACAGUUUUUCUCAAUUGUUUACACACAAAUACUGGUACUUGAGACACAAUGACCACAACAUGUAACUCAUGCACCAACCCCCUGAACCAAUUCUGCUAAACUACAAGCACAAUUCCUGCUUUACACUCAAAUUGCAGUUCUAAAACACACUUUUUUCAAAACACUACACACAAUUCAUUGCAUUUGGCACAAUUUUCAUGCAGAAAAUCACUUGUUUUCACAAUGAACACACUGCCAUUCAAAUAUGCACACUGACUCAUCACAUGGGCAAACACCCAUCACACAGUUUUACAAUUAGCAAUCAGAGCUUUAGCAUAAAAGGGCAACAGGUGAGCUCUUCUGUUUUGGCGCAAUGGAUGCCAACAUUGGAAACAGAGGCAGAGCCAGAGGAGUCAGAGUAAGAGGAGGAGGACGGGGAGGAAAAGGACGAGGACGGGGAAGGCCAAGGACCGUAAUCUCUGAUGAGAUCCGAGCCACUUUGGUUGAUCAUGUGGUCAACCAUGGUCUAACAAUGAGGGAGGCUGGGCAAAGAGUACAGCCAAAUUUAAGCAGGUACACUGUAACAUCCAUCAUCCGGACAUUCCGAAAUGAGAAUAGGUAAGAAAUCUACUCUCACUAGAAAAUUGCAGUACUGCAUUUCAAUACAGUACUCAAUGAGUACAGUAGUACAGUAUUGCCUGUGGACUGUUCUGUAGGACUGUAAAAAUAAAGUAUGUUUCAAGUAUUUGGGAAAUGUAUUCCUACUUUGUAUUUACAGUAUUUUACUAUUUGUUUGGCAGAGCUGAAAGAUUACCAACACAAGGUGGUCGGGAACGUGUUCUGUCUCCUGAACAGGAAACUGAAAUCAUGAACAUGGUCCUAGAAAAUAACGGCAUAACAUUACGAAAUAAUCUCAGGAUGAAGCAGGUCUACAGGGUGCCAUUUGAACGCAAUUCAGAAAGAGUCAAAGAAUUGCGAUAUAACUAUGUGCAAAGAGUCCUUGAGCUAGAGGUGGCUGCAGUGGAGCACCAGUUCAUCUUCAUUGAUGAGAUUGGAUUCAACCUCACAAAAAGACGAAAGAGGGGAAGGAAUAUCAUCGGCCAGCGUGCCAUUGUUCAAGUCCCUGGCCAGCGCGGAGGGAACAUCACAAUGUGUCCAGCGAUUACCCACCACGGCGUCAUCCAUCACCAUGCUACCCUUGGCCCCUACAACAACGCCCAUCUGAUCACAUUCCUGGACACCCUACACAACACACUCAUUCCACCAGAUCAGGUAGAUGGCCCAGAGCAGCUCAGGUACGUUGUCAUUUGGGACAACAUAAGUUUCCACAGGGCUGCUCUGGUUUGUAACUGGUUCACUGCCCACCCACGCUUUUUAGUUGUUUAUCUCCCUCCAUAUUCUCCAGUCCUCAAUCCUAUUGAGGAAUUUUUUUCUGCCUGGAGAUGGAAAGUGUAUGACCGAAAUUCACAAACGCGUAUACCUCUUCUCCAAGCUAUGGAAGACGCAUGUGGAGAAAUAGCAGCUGAUGCUUUUCAUGGCUGGAAUCGGCAUGCUAGGCGAUAUUUCCCCCGCUGCUUGGCCAGGGAAAACAUUGCUUGUGAUGUGGAUGAGGUGCUGUGGCCAGACCGCAACAGAAGAGAGGAUGCAGCAUAGUUUUAAAUGUUUAAAUUUUAAAUGUUUUUUACUUUAACUGUAUACAUUAAAUUCUUCUGUUUUGUAUGUAGACCACUGUAUGUGCAACUUUGUGUUGGUUGGGAAUGGGAUGUACACUGUGUACAUUGUUUUUGUGGGAAAAAUAAAAUAUAUUUGUUACCGUG